UACGUAGGUGGCGAGCGUUGUCCGGAUUUACUGGGCGUAAAGGGAGCGUAGGCGGACUUUUAAGUGAGAUGUGAAAUACUCGGGCUCAACUUGAGUGCUGCAUUUCAAACUGGAAGUCUAGAGUGCAGGAGAGGAGAAUGGAAUUCCUAGUGUAGCGGUGAAAUGCGUAGAAAUUAGGAAGAACACCAGUGGCGAAGGCGAUUCUCUGGACUGUAACUGACGCUGAGGCUCGAAAGCGUGGGGAGCAAACAGG
Molecule: ribosomal RNA, 253 nt
Filed under: uncultured bacterium
Lineage: Bacteria
Description: partial 16S ribosomal RNA
Rfam family: Bacterial small subunit ribosomal RNA
Source: RNAcentral